AGAGUUUGAUCAUGGCUCAGAUUGAACGCUGGCGGCAGGCCUAACACAUGCAAGUCGAGCGGUAGCACAGAGAGCUUGCUCUCGGGUGACGAGCGGCGGACGGGUGAGUAAUGUCUGGGAAACUGCCUGAUGGAGGGGGAUAACUACUGGAAACGGUAGCUAAUACCGCAUAACGUCGCAAGACCAAAGUGGGGGACCUUCGGGCCUCAUGCCAUCAGAUGUGCCCAGAUGGGAUUAGCUAGUAGGUGGGGUAACGGCUCACCUAGGCGACGAUCCCUAGCUGGUCUGAGAGGAUGACCAGCCACACUGGAACUGAGACACGGUCCAGACUCCUACGGGAGGCAGCAGUGGGGAAUAUUGCACAAUGGGCGCAAGCCUGAUGCAGCCAUGCCGCGUGUGUGAAGAAGGCCUUCGGGUUGUAAAGCACUUUCAGCGGGGAGGAAGGCGNCGAUUGACGUUACCCGCAGAAGAAGCACCGGCUAACUCCGUGCCAGCAGCCGCGGUAAUACGGAGGGUGCAAGCGUUAAUCGGAAUUACUGGGCGUAAAGCGCACGCAGGCGGUCUGUCAAGUCGGAUGUGAAAUCCCCGGGCUCAACCUGGGAACUGCAUUCGAAACUGGCAGGCUAGAGUCUUGUAGAGGGGGGUAGAAUUCCAGGUGUAGCGGUGAAAUGCGUAGAGAUCUGGAGGAAUACCGGUGGCGAAGGCGGCCCCCUGGACAAAGACUGACGCUCAGGUGCGAAAGCGUGGGGAGCAAACAGGAUUAGAUACCCUGGUAGUCCACGCCGUAAACGAUGUCGAUUUGGAGGUUGUGCCCUUGAGGCGUGGCUUCCGGAGCUAACGCGUUAAAUCGACCGCCUGGGGAGUACGGCCGCAAGGUUAAAACUCAAAUGAAUUGACGGGGGCCCGCACAAGCGGUGGAGCAUGUGGUUUAAUUCGAUGCAACGCGAAGAACCUUACCUGGUCUUGACAUCCACAGAACUUNUUGGUGCCUUCGGGAACUGUGAGACAGGUGCUGCAUGGCUGUCGUCAGCUCGUGUUGUGAAAUGUUGGGUUAAGUCCCGCAACGAGCGCAACCCUUAUCCUUUGUUGCCAGCGGUUAGGCCGGGAACUCAAAGGAGACUGCCAGUGAUAAACUGGAGGAAGGUGGGGAUGACGUCAAGUCAUCAUGGCCCUUACGACCAGGGCUACACACGUGCUACAAUGGCAUAUACAAAGAGAAGCGACCUCGCGAGAGCAAGCGGACCUCAUAAAGUAUGUCGUAGUCCGGAUUGGAGUCUGCAACUCGACUCCAUGAAGUCGGAAUCGCUAGUAAUCGUAGAUCAGAAUGCUACGGUGAAUACGUUCCCGGGCCUUGUACACACCGCCCGUCACACCAUGGGAGUGGGUUGCAAAAGAAGUAGGUAGCUUAACCUUCGGGAGGGCGCUUACCACUUUGUGAUUCAUGACUGGGGUGAAGUCGUAACAAGGUAACCGUAGGGGAACCUGCGGUUG
RNAcentral lists this ribosomal RNA (1491 nucleotides) under Klebsiella pneumoniae. RNAcentral's name for it is "bacterial SSU rRNA". It matches the Rfam family "Bacterial small subunit ribosomal RNA". Lineage: Bacteria; Pseudomonadati; Pseudomonadota; Gammaproteobacteria; Enterobacterales; Enterobacteriaceae. The record is from RNAcentral. RNAcentral also lists the same sequence under 1 other name.